UUUAAGUUCCUGACCACAAGCAUCUUUGUUUCUAAGGUUCCCAUCCUAAAGAUGGAAGUAAAGCCAUUACAAUGUAUCCUUCCCUGACAAGGAAUAUGAUCCAUUGUUUGCUGUUAACAGUGCAAUUCCUAAGGCAGGCCUUCUAAGGAAACCUGUGCUUGUAAAAUACUGCAUGCAUCACCGACAAGACCUAUUCUUACUGAUUGAGUCACAGAUGCAAUGUUUGUAUCUCCAUGAACAGCCUUGUGGGUGGAAUUUCCCUUUUCUUCCAACUCAGUAGGAGGAUUAGAUUUCUUUUCUGAUCUUCCCAGGAUCUGUUUAUGAUCCUUGCUCUUGGCACCACUGUCAGCAUUAAACUUGUCCUAAGCAGAAAGGUAUAUGCUUUGAACUAAGCCCAGGGAAUCUGGUGCCUGUGUCUAAGGCAGUAGCCCUUCACCCUGAUGGCCCACUAGAGUCACUUGGGGAGCUUUGAAGAAAAACCACAUCUGGGCCCCACUGCCCUAGACUGCACUUUAACUGCACUGGACUGUAGCCCAGGAAAGCUGCAUGAGAUGGAGAACCAGACUGAGAACCACUGGACCAGGUGUAAGAAAAUAAGCCAACUGACUUGAGCCCUGGAGUCAAAUUCUAAAGCUAUGGGAUAAUUAGCUUGUGGGAUUGGAGGACUUCCCUUCAAGGUCAGGAGUGUCCAGGGAGAAAAAUCUCUAUCUCUAUUCCCUCUUCCCAGCUCCCUAUUCCAACCUCCUCAGGUGACCCAUUUACCUACACCCACCAGACUCUAACCAGCCAUGUUUUGAAGAUUGACUUCUAUUCAGAUCAGAAACAUGGAAGCUCCUUGGCAGGGGCAAAGCACAACUCUGCGUCACUCAGUGUCACUCUAGCAUAAAUACCCUCCCCUGCUGCCCAGUCACCUGGCCUGGGCCCACCUUUGGAAGACUUCUUUGAGCUGACCUGCAGGGCUUGGCUGACCACUCAGACUUUGACUCGUGGCAGCCCCUGACCUGCUUCAGCCUUCUCUCCUGAUCAUUCACUCCUCUAGGGCCCAGAUUUCCUGCCUCCUCCCCCUCAGUCCUGGUUCUCUGCUCAGCUACCUCUCUCUCCCCCACUACCUCUUUUCUAGCUCCAAUCCGCUGCUCUCCAAGAACUUCUGCAGUAUGUUCCUUGGUCUCAGGAUAUUUGCUGUGCCCUGUGGGUGUUUGCCCCCUGAGCCUUAUGGCUCAAUAUACCCACACACUUUGACAUACCCAAAAGCAGCCAGUGCCUGCCUUCUGCCAGGUCUGCAACUGCCAAGGAGUUAAUUUCUCUGAAAUUCAGCUAAAGCUGACUCAUGCCUCUUCUCUGAGGUCUGGAGCUGAAUGAAAGGCAUGAAAUGGUCCGUGAAACCUAGUAUGUCAAAUGAGAUAAUGUAUACCAAAGGGCCUGAACUGGAAAGCACAACACAAAUAUGAAGUAUUGAUAAUAAGCAGCAGCAACAUUGCACAUGCCUGUCUGGGAUACAGCUGGUAGCUGACCAUGAGUACCAGAGGAGGGAUAUAGACCGAUCAAGGACAGACAGGCAAGUCAUUUACAAAUCAGAAGAUUAAAGAAUUGAGCGAUUGGGACCAGAUAGGCAGUAGCGAAGGGAGCAGUGCAAAAAGCAGAGGCAGUGUUCACGACAAAACUGGAGGCCCAGAGUGAGGAAGAGCUAGGGAUUUCCAUCAGCAAGUACUUUGGAUUCUACCUUCAAAGCAUGUCCAUAAUCUGGCCACUUGUUACCACCUCUACAACCAUCACCUGCCUAGACUAUUGUAGUAGCUCCUACUUGGUCUCCCUGCUUCCACCUUCACUUCCUCACUGUCCAUUUUCAACAUAACAGCCUUAGCGAUCCUGCCAAAAGUGAGGUACUUCACAUCAUGUCACUGCUCCACUCAGAAUGCUUUAAUGUCUUGUCAUCCUUCUCAGGAUAAAAGCUGAAGUCCCUUACCAUGGCUUACGAGGCUCCAUGUGGUCUGGACCACAGUUACCCCUCUAAUCUCGUCCUCUCCCACAUGCGCAUCUGCUGCAGUUACUCUGGGCUUCUUGCUGUUUCUUGAACACCCCAAGGUCAUUUCUGCCUCAUGUUCCUUUCCCCUGCUCUUUCUUAUUCCUGGAUUUUCUUCCUGGCUCUUCAUCUUCUCACUUCAUUGAGGGCUAAGCUCAAGUGUCAUUCCUAAUUUCAGGGAUCAUCCUGCCACAGGAACACCAGAUCUGAGCCAUAUCCAUGACCUACACCACAGCUCAUGGCAAUGCUGGAUCCUCAACCCACUGAGCAAGGCCAGGGAUCAAACCUGCAUCCUCAUGGAUGCUAGUCAGAUUCAUUUCCACUGAGCCAUGACAGGAACUCCCUGAACUUCUCUAUUUUAAGUGGCAGUUCCCAGCCCCAUCAUGCUGUAUCCUUUUCCUAGCUAUAUUUUAUAUAGCACUGAAAUGAGAAAUAUUUAGUAGAUAUGACUUUAUUGUCUGACUCUUCUACUAAAAUGUAAGCUCCAUGAACAUAGGGAUUUUGUCUGCCUUGUUCCCUGCUUGCAUAGGGCCUGGCAUCGUUGGAUAAAUGAUUGAAUAAACAAAUGGAGUAGCAGAUUUAAGACUCCAACAAUAAAUCAAGAUAUCAAGUCAAGGGGCAAAGUAGUUGCCUUCAUCUUGAGCUUUAUUGUGGUUCUGUGGAGGCAGAGACCUGUCCCCCAGGGUGCCCUCUGCCAGGUCUGCAACUGCCAAGGAGUUAAUUGGUAAAGAUUAUUUUUCCAAAGAAGGAGAAGACAAGGAAAGUGCACCUUCCCAACUCCUGCCCAUCCUAGAGCUGAGCUAUUCUGGGAAUUCCAAGGGCAAACCAAAGGCCUCAUUGGGAAGGCUUCAGGGAAGUAGAAAUCCUUAUUAUUCUGUCUCCAGGACCCCUGUUUCUCCAGGAUAUGGGCUUUUGAAUCUCUGGGAGCAAUCUCUCUUUAUCAUCUCCCCCUCUCCUGUGAGGGACAUCCUUGGCUGGCCCAACCAUGUCACAUUUAUGGCAAAGUGAAACAGCACAGCAGGAGAUGGCAUGGGCAUUCAGUGCUAAUCGUGGCUCUCUAUUUCCCUCCUAGUUGUGAGAUCAUAAGCAAGUUAUUUCUAUUUCUCAGAGCCUCACUACCUUGUCCGUAAAUGGAGAAUAGUGAUAGUACCUUUGCCAGGGAUGUUGUAAGGAUGAAAUGUGAUCAUGCAUUUUAAGCAGGACAUUUGGCAUGAGAUUCUGCAUUGCUAACCAGUUCCCAGGUUGUGCUGACGCAUGGACCAGGCUCUAAAUAGCCAACAGAAAUACAAGAGAGUGGUCUGGGGGAUAAAAUACUGGUGAAAUGUGUUUGCAAGAAGCUUCCUAGCCUCUGAUUCCCACCUUAAAGGCAGCCCGAAAUUGCUACCUCCUAACCCAGAAGCGCUGCAUUGUUUCCAGCUUCUUUCUCUGCAGGAGUCCCUGAAUCCAAUUCCAGCUGUACCUAUUCCUCUCUUCAGUCUCAACCCCACAAUAAGGCCUCAUACAAUGACACUCUUUUAAGGAAGUUUCAGUCAGAACUGAGAGAGGAGAGAGAGGUUUUCUGUUUUACUUAGAUCUGCUCCUUGGUUUCCUUCGCCCUCGGACAUAUGGCCAGGCGCUUGUUUUCAUGGCUGCUUAAUGGUUUGUAAAGCAAUUGCUGGAUGAAACAUUGCUACAGCAAGCCAGGCUCAAGAGACACAGGGAUUCACCGGCCAAUGUUAUCUUUGCUGAGUACCAGGGCUGUUCCAGCUCCUUUCCUCUUUCUGUCUGACAGUGACAGAUGGCUUCCACAUGGUUUGACCUACUGUUUGGCCAGAUCUGACCAGAUAGUCAUCCAUCAGCUGCCCUAUUUGACCCCCUAGAGGGCACCCUGUGGUUUGAGGGAGGCAGAAGUUAGAGGUUCCUUUGGCGCUCACCCCAUCUCAUAGCUGUCGUAGUAGAGUUUCAAGCAUGGACAGCUCUUAUUCCAGAUGUUACCAUCCCGGAGUCCAUAUGUUUCAAGGUGGGAUCAGCAGGUUUACGUGGUAAUGUUCAACUAAUUAAUCAUAAGCCGAUGCUUUAACAGCUUCAGGACCCAAAGCAGGUUUGGUACUAACAAAGAUGUAUGCAAUACAUAUGGUAUUAUUAAUUGGGAAAAAGGAGGUGAAGUUCAGCUUUUUCCAUUGCUUUGGCACAAUCUCUAUUUUCUUACUGAUCCUGAAUGUUACUUAUGAAGCCUCUGAAAGCUGUAUGGGAAAAUCUCCAAAACCUUGCCUCAUGGCUCUCUUUGAGUGUUACAAAACAAAAACUUUUAAUAUAAACUGUAGGGCAUGAGAAAAAAGGUAGUAUAAACAGAGCGGUCAAGCAGAUGAGGAAUCAGGAGACCUGGGUCUAGUCCCAACUUGCCUCUCUUUUUGUAACUUUAAACACAUCUCUUAAUUGAUUUAACAAACUUUUUAAACAUCUACUAGGUAGAUUCAAGAAAUACCUGGGUUUUAGAUUUUUUCUAACUGUAACAUGAGAUUGUUAUAUGAACUUGACUUCUAAAAGACUUUAAAUAAAGUAUUUACAUUCCUUUCUUUCUGAAAGGACAUAUAUAUAUAUAUGUCUUUUUAGGGCUACACCCACAGCAUAUGGAGGUUCCCAGGCUAGGGGUCCAAUCGGAGCUAUAGCCACCAGCCUACACCACAGCCUCAACAAUGCUGGAUCCGAGCUGCAUGUUUGACCUACACCACAGCUCAUGGCAAUGCCAGAUCCUUAACCCACUGAGUGAGGCCAGGGAUUAAACCCUUGUCCUCAUGGAUCCUAGUCAGGUUCGUUAACCACUGAGCCACAACGGGAACUCCCUGAAACCAUAAUUUGCUCACUAAAUUUUUGCCUAUUCCACUUGCACAUAAAUUGUACUUUCCUUGUAAAAAAAUGCUGUAUCAGAGUAAAAAGAUAUGGGGACAUUUGAAUAAUUACAGCUUUAAUGGAAUGCAACCUGACCAAGUCUAUUAAAAUUAAAGAUACAUUAAAAUAAUUUUUAAAACUAGGAGAUAUUUUAAAUACCAAAUCUAUUGAAGUUAAAACUACUCAGCAACUCCCUGCAUUAUUUGU
RNAcentral lists this long non-coding RNA (5095 nucleotides) under Sus scrofa (pig). RNAcentral's name for it is "lncRNA (ENSSSCG00040058801.1)". The record is from RNAcentral. Lineage: Eukaryota; Metazoa; Chordata; Mammalia; Artiodactyla; Suidae.